RNAcentral lists this ribosomal RNA (383 nucleotides) under Nothobachia ablephara. Its description in RNAcentral is "partial 16S ribosomal RNA". It matches the Rfam family "Bacterial large subunit ribosomal RNA", at positions 1927 to 2526 of the family's 2925-position model. The record is from RNAcentral. Lineage: Eukaryota; Metazoa; Chordata; Lepidosauria; Squamata; Gymnophthalmidae.
ACGGCCGCGGGAUCCUCCACCGUGCAAAGGUAGCAUAAUCACUUGUCUCCUAAAUAGAGACUAGUAUGAACGGCCAAAUGAAGAUUUACCUGUCUCUUGAAGCCCAUCUAUGAAACUGAUCUUUCAGUACAAAAGCUGAAAUCCAAACACAAGACGAAAAGACCCUGUGGAACUUAAAGCCAAAGUCAACAAACUAUGACCCACCGCUUUUAGUUGGGGCAACUUUGGAAAAAAACAAAACUUCCAAUUACAAACGAGGCAGACACGCCAAAAUACAUUAAUUAUAUUAGACCCAGUAUUACUGACUAAAGAAAAAAGCUACCCCAGGGAUAACAGCGCCAUCCCCUCAUAGAGCCCCCAUCGACGAGCGGGGUUUACGACCU